RNAcentral lists this ribosomal RNA (662 nucleotides) under Lactiplantibacillus plantarum. Its description in RNAcentral is "bacterial SSU rRNA". It matches the Rfam family "Bacterial small subunit ribosomal RNA", at positions 56 to 683 of the family's 1533-position model. Lineage: Bacteria; Bacillati; Bacillota; Bacilli; Lactobacillales; Lactobacillaceae. The record is from RNAcentral.
UGCAAGUCGAACGAACUCUGGUAUUGAUUGGUGCUUGCAUCAUGAUUUACAUUUGAGUGAGUGGCGAACUGGUGAGUAACACGUGGGAAACCUGCCCAGAAGCGGGGGAUAACACCUGGAAACAGAUGCUAAUACCGCAUAACAACUUGGACCGCAUGGUCCGAGUUUGAAAGAUGGCUUCGGCUAUCACUUUUGGAUGGUCCCGCGGCGUAUUAGCUAGAUGGUGGGGUAACGGCUCACCAUGGCAAUGAUACGUAGCCGACCUGAGAGGGUAAUCGGCCACAUUGGGACUGAGACACGGCCCAAACUCCUACGGGAGGCAGCAGUAGGGAAUCUUCCACAAUGGACGAAAGUCUGAUGGAGCAACGCCGCGUGAGUGAAGAAGGGUUUCGGCUCGUAAAACUCUGUUGUUAAAGAAGAACAUAUCUGAGAGUAACUGUUCAGGUAUUGACGGUAUUUAACCAGAAAGCCACGGCUAACUACGUGCCAGCAGCCGCGGUAAUACGUAGGUGGCAAGCGUUGUCCGGAUUUAUUGGGCGUAAAGCGAGCGCAGGCGGUUUUUUAAGUCUGAUGUGAAAGCCUUCGGCUCAACCGAAGAAGUGCAUCGGAAACUGGGAAACUUGAGUGCAGAAGAGGACAGUGGAACUCCAUGUGUAGCGGUG